This 496-nucleotide ribosomal RNA is filed under the name uncultured bacterium. Its description in RNAcentral is "partial 16S ribosomal RNA". It matches the Rfam family "Bacterial small subunit ribosomal RNA", at positions 28 to 506 of the family's 1533-position model. The record is from RNAcentral.
GAUGAACGCUGGCGGCGUGCCUAAUACAUGCAAGUCGAGCGAACAGACGAGGAGCUUGCUCGUCUGACGUGAGCGGCGGGCGGGUGAGUAACACGUGGAUAACCUACCUAUAAGACUGGGAUAACUACGGGAAAGCGGAUCUAAUACCGGAGAAGAUAUUGAACCGCAGGGUUCAUUAGUGAAAGACGGUUUUGCUGUCACUAAUAGAUGGAUGCGCGCUGGUUUAGCUAGUUGGUACGGAAACGGCUUCCCAGGGCGCGGAUGCGUAGCCGACCUGGGAGGGUGAUAGUCACCCUUGGACUUAGACACGGGCCCAGCCCCCUACGGGAGGCACCAGUAGGAAUUUUUCCGCAAUGGCCGAAACCUUGACGGAGCAACCCCGCGUGGGUGAUGAAGGCCUCCGGUUCGUAAAACCCUGUUAUUGGGAAAGAACAAAUGUGUAAGUAACUAUGCACGUCUUGACGGUACCUAAGAAGAAAGCCCCGCCUAACUCCGU